GAUCGAUUACGUCGUGACUUUUGGUCGA
Molecule: small RNA, 28 nt
Filed under: Bombyx mori (domestic silkworm)
Lineage: Eukaryota; Metazoa; Arthropoda; Insecta; Lepidoptera; Bombycidae
Description: ovarian small RNA-16119
Source: RNAcentral